CCCUUAGAGUUUGAUCAUGGCUCAGAUUGAACGCUGGCGGCAGGCCUAACACAUGCAAGUCGAGCGGCAGCACAAGGGAGUUUACUCCUGAGGUGGCGAGCGGCGGACGGGUGAGUAAUGNCUAGGGAUCUGCCCAGUCGAGGGGGAUAACAGUUGGAAACGACUGCUAAUACCGCAUACGCCCUACGGGGGAAAGAGGGGGACUUUCGGGCCUCUCGCGAUUGGAUGAACCUAGGUGGGAUUAGCUAGUUGGUGAGGUAAUGGCUCACCAAGGCGACGAUCCCUAGCUGUUCUGAGAGGAUGAUCAGCCACACUGGGACUGAGACACGGCCCAGACUCCUACGGGAGGCAGCAGUGGGGAAUCUUGGACAAUGGGCGCAAGCCUGAUCCAGCCAUGCCGCGUGAGCGAUGACGGCCUUAGGGUUGUAAAGCUCUUUCGCCGGGGAAGAUAAUGACUGUACCCGGAGAAGAAGUCCCGGCUAACUUCGUGCCAGCAGCCGCGGUAAUACGAAGGGGACUAGCGUUGUUCGGAAUUACUGGGCGUAAAGCGCGCGUAGGCGGACUGAUCAGUCAGGGGUGAAAUCCCGGGGCUCAACCCCGGAACUGCCUUUGAUACUGUCAGUCUUGAGUUCGAGAGAGG
Molecule: ribosomal RNA, 640 nt
Filed under: uncultured Gammaproteobacteria bacterium
Lineage: Bacteria; Pseudomonadati; Pseudomonadota; Gammaproteobacteria
Description: bacterial SSU rRNA
Rfam family: Bacterial small subunit ribosomal RNA
Source: RNAcentral